Molecule: ribosomal RNA, 253 nt
Filed under: uncultured bacterium
Lineage: Bacteria
Description: partial 16S ribosomal RNA
Rfam family: Bacterial small subunit ribosomal RNA
Source: RNAcentral
UACGUAGGGGGCUAGCGUUGUCCGGAAUCAUUGGGCGUAAAGAGCGUGUAGGCGGUCCGGUAAGUCCGUUGUGAAAGUCAAGGGCUCAACCCUUGAAUGCCGGCGGAUACUGUCGGGCUAGAGUCCGGAAGAGGCAAGUGGAAUUCCCGGUGUAGCGGUGAAAUGCGUAGAUAUCUGGAGGAACACCGGUGGCGAAGGCGGCAUCCUGGACCGACACUGACGCUGAGGAGCGAAAGCCAGGGGAGCAAACGGG